AGCUUAGAAAUACACAAGAGUGUGUAUAAAGCGAUUAGAAUGAGUUGAGUUAGAGAAUAGGGUAGCAGAGAAUGAGUUUAGUUGAGCUGAGACAUGCAUGUUUAUUCUACCCAAAAGAAGUCUUUCUUUUGGGUUUAUUU
Molecule: small RNA, 140 nt
Filed under: Bacillus subtilis
Lineage: Bacteria; Bacillati; Bacillota; Bacilli; Caryophanales; Bacillaceae
Description: Bacillus tryptophan operon leader
Rfam family: Bacillus tryptophan operon leader
Source: RNAcentral